CGGGAAGAGGGGGAGGUGGCGCCCCGCCCGCUUCGGAAGCGGGAGACGCGCGGUUCGAGUCCGUGCUUCCCGACGA
RNAcentral lists this transfer RNA (76 nucleotides) under Actinomadura rubrisoli. Its description in RNAcentral is "Actinomadura sp. H3C3 tRNA-Pro". It matches the Rfam family "tRNA". Rfam says of the family: Transfer RNA (tRNA) molecules are approximately 80 nucleotides in length. Their secondary structure includes four short double-helical elements and three loops (D, anti-codon, and T loops). The record is from RNAcentral. Lineage: Bacteria; Bacillati; Actinomycetota; Actinomycetes; Streptosporangiales; Thermomonosporaceae.